Molecule: ribosomal RNA, 301 nt
Filed under: uncultured bacterium
Lineage: Bacteria
Description: partial 16S ribosomal RNA
Rfam family: Bacterial small subunit ribosomal RNA
Source: RNAcentral
CAGCCGCCGCGGGAAUACGUAGGGUGCGAGCGUUAAUCGGAAUUACUGGGCGUAAAGCGUGCGCAGGCGGUUUUGUAAGACAGGCGUGAAAUCCCCGGGCUCAACCUGGGAAUGGCGCUUGUGACUGCAAAGCUAGAGUGCGGCAGAGGGGGAUGGAAUUCCGCGAGUAGCAGUGAAAUGCGUAGAUAUGCGGAGGAACACUGAUGGCGAAGGCAAUCCCCUGGGCCUGCACUGACGCUCAUGCACGAAAGCGUGGGGAGCAAACAGGAUUAGAUACCCCUGUAGUCCCUGUCUCUUAUAC